Molecule: long non-coding RNA, 925 nt
Filed under: Callithrix jacchus (white-tufted-ear marmoset)
Lineage: Eukaryota; Metazoa; Chordata; Mammalia; Primates; Cebidae
Description: lncRNA (ENSCJAG00000083621.1)
Source: RNAcentral
CUGGACUGGUUUACAUACAACAUUCUUCAUUUAGGAAUAGGUAAAGACCUCCUUUUUCAGCAGUCAGCAGAUCAAGACCUCGGCUGUUCUGGAGGACAACUGUGGCUAGGGAACUUACCUGAGCUUGAAGAAGGGAUAGCGAUUGAGUUAAUUCUGCAGUGGUAGCAGAGACAUCAUUAGAGUGGCUACAGAAGGUGAGGAUUGAAGUGGUAAGGCCUGCUAUGCCUGUGCCGAUACCGUAGAAAUUCCUAGCCCUACAAGUAAGGGGAUCAACGGAAUGACCCACUUGUAUUGUGUUGGGACCACAAGGGGAACAAGGAGGCUUUUGUCUCUGUUGGCAAACUGAAUUUUGGCAGUAAGGAAAAGUAGGGUAAAAGCGUCUGUCCAGUUGGUGGGAAGGCAGAUGUAAGAAGAAGAACCACAGAGGAAAAGAGUCUGUGGCUUAGACAGAACUGCAAAUGUAAACUGAAAAGGUUACGAAAGGAGAGAGCAACCACAUUUGUCAAAGAGAUUUUUUUAUGCCAUGGGCCAGUAUGAUCGUCACAGCAGGCAACAUACCUGGGUUCAAGCAAUUCUCCUGCCUCAGCCUCCUAAGUAGCUGGGAUGUCCUCCUGUAUCUCAAAAGAACAUGUGGUAUGUACCAUCAGGUACACACACCUGGAGAUUAUCAGUCUAGCAAAAGUAAUCAACAUCCACAUAGGAGGGAAAAGCAAAUCAACAAUACCAGAAAUGGAAUUUAUCCAUCAUCAGUCCCAGAUCUCUGAGAUAUUGUGAUUUUUACAAAUUGAAGGUUUGCAUCAACCCUGCUUCAAGCAAGUCUAUUGGCACCAUUUUCCCAACAGCUUGUGUUCAUAUUUUGGUAAUUCUGAUAAUAUUUCAAAUGUUGCUAUUAUAUCGAUAGUGGUGAUCUCUAAUGUGUGAUCAC